Molecule: ribosomal RNA, 374 nt
Filed under: uncultured bacterium
Lineage: Bacteria
Description: bacterial SSU rRNA
Rfam family: Bacterial small subunit ribosomal RNA
Source: RNAcentral
UACGAAUGGGGCGAGCGUUGUUCGGAAUCACUGGGCGUAAAGCGUACGUAGGCGGACUAGAAAGUCAGAAGUGAAAUCCCGGGGCUUAACCUCGGAAUUGCUUUUGAAACUUCUAGUCUAGAGGCCCGGAGAGGCCAGCGGAAUUCCGAGUGUAGAGGUGAAAUUCGCAGAUAUUCGGAGGAACACCAGUUGCGUAGGCGGCUGGCUGGACGGGCACUGACGCUGAGGUACGAAAGCGUGGGGAUCAAACAGGAUUAGAUACCCUGGUAGUCCACGCCGUAAACGAUGUGUGCUAGUUGUCGGGGUCUUUAGGCUUCGGUGACGCAGCUAACGCUUUAAGCACACCGCCUGGGGAGUACGGUCGCAAGAUUAAA